GGCGGAGUUAUAGCACACCCUAAGCGUAGUAACUUACAUCGCUCCCGGGGAGUCUAUAGCGGCCUGCCGUUAAAAAAACCCCUAUAUUUCUAGUGGUUGACCUCGGAUUAGGUAGGAAUACCCGCUGAACUUAAGCAU
RNAcentral lists this ribosomal RNA (138 nucleotides) under Annulohypoxylon urceolatum. RNAcentral describes it as "partial 28S ribosomal RNA". The record is from RNAcentral. Lineage: Eukaryota; Fungi; Ascomycota; Sordariomycetes; Xylariales; Hypoxylaceae.